GUCCACAUCUGCGAAAACGGCACUGGUGAGGGUGACGUGUGCACGAUGCCCCAGCCCAUCGUCACUCCCUGCAAAGCUCUGAACUUGUGCAUCCCCAGGCCACGCGCUGCGCCCUGUCUUAGCACCUGUCUCAAUCCGUGAUUGUGGUCCCGCAGCCCCGCCACCCACCGCCCUGAACCCGCGACGAGACUACAACUCCCAGAAGCAGCUGCGAGGUGCACAGCCCUACCCCUUCUGCAAAGCUGCGCACACCCCCAACCCGGAGCAAGCUGGCAUCGUAGACCCUCCGCCCUGCGACUCCCUGCACCGCCCUUCAACACACAGAAGCAGAUUCACUCUGCGGAGGGAAGAUUGGCUGUUCCCAAAUCUCUCCCGCUUGGGAAGACAGUGGAGUUAGGGCGACUAGUUUCACCUUGUAAUUGUGACAGCCCACCUUCACGAGCUGCGGAUGUCGCGGUUGUGAUGUCCGAAGUUUGAUUUCUCGCAUACCAACAAAAGGGCCGGUUGACUCUCACUGCCUGCGCAGCAGGGUUGCCAAGUUUUUCAGAUUAAGUACUCCACGACUACACGCUUCUGAAACUGUCAUAGACACAGCCACAGCUCCGUUCAGGGCAGACGCACAAAAGCAGAAUCUCCGUGGGGCAUCUUUCUGGAGCAUCAAUAUUACUGCAGGAUUUGGAUUAAACAAACUUAAUUCGCAAGGAAAAAAAUGGAACAUUUAAGACAACGCUGGAAAGUCAUCUGCCUUCAAUAACCAUCAUC
This is a long non-coding RNA of Symphalangus syndactylus (siamang), 762 nucleotides long. RefSeq lists it as uncharacterized. NCBI's taxonomy places the organism in Eukaryota, Metazoa, Chordata, Mammalia, Primates, Hylobatidae. The record is from RefSeq and is a predicted model, not a curated record.